CCUACGGGAGGCAGCAGUGGGGAAUCUUGCGCAAUGGGCGAAAGCCUGACGCAGCAACGCCGCGUGCGGGAAGAAGGCUUUCGGGCUGUAAACCGCUUUCAGCAGGAACGAAAAUGACGGUACCUGCAGAAGAAGGAGCGGCCAACUAUGUGCCAGCAGCCGCGGUGAUACAUAGGCUUCAAGCGUUGUCCGGAUUUAUUGGGCGUAAAGAGUUCGUAGGCGGUCGAGUAAGUCGGGUGUGAAAAUUCUGGGCUCAACCCAGAGACGCCACCCGAUACUGCUUGACUUGAGUUCGAUAGGGGAGUGGGGAAUUCCUAGUGUAGCGGUAAAAUGCGCAGAUAUUAGGAGGAACACCGGUGGCGAAGGCGCCACUCUGGAUCGAUACUGACGCUGAGGAACGAAAGCAUGGGUAGCAAACAGGAUUAGAUACCCUGGUAGUCCAUGCCGUAAACGGUGGGCACUAGGUGUGGGUUUCUAUUAACGAAAUCCGCGCCGUCGCUAACGCAUUAAGUGCCCCGCCUGGGGAGGUACGGUCGCAGACUAAACUACAAGAAGUAGACGGCGNGAGACGUGCCGAACGGACGACGACGAGGGAGGUAGG
Molecule: ribosomal RNA, 601 nt
Filed under: uncultured bacterium
Lineage: Bacteria
Description: bacterial SSU rRNA
Rfam family: Bacterial small subunit ribosomal RNA
Source: RNAcentral